AGCACGGCAACUCCUUUCCCUACCUCCUCGCGGUACUGGCUGGGGUAUGAGUAACCUCAGGGAAGAUCGAGUAACCAACCCCCGGUGGGAACUUUGGUCGUAUGCUGACAAGGAAGG
RNAcentral lists this ribozyme (117 nucleotides) under Aedes aegypti (yellow fever mosquito). Its description in RNAcentral is "drz-agam-1 ribozyme". It matches the Rfam family "drz-agam-1 ribozyme". The record is from Rfam by way of RNAcentral. Lineage: Eukaryota; Metazoa; Arthropoda; Insecta; Diptera; Culicidae.